AUCUGAGACAAGAGUACAGCAUACUUCCCUCAGAACAACUUCUAUCAUGCUGCUGCCAGGCCUGCUGAGAGUAGCCCUGGCUGCCAUCUACCUUAGAUCCAGCAUGACCCAGAAGGUAACUCAAGCCCUGUCCACCAUUUCUAUGGUGCAGAAGGAGACUGUAACUUUGGACUGUGCCUAUGAAACUAGUAGUUAUACUUACUAUUUAUUCUGGUACAAACAAACACCAAGUGGGGAAAUGAUUUUCCUUAUUGGUCAGGAGUCUUACAAUGAACAAAAUGCAGCAGAGGGCCGGUAUUCUCUGAACUUUCAGAAACCGGCCAGUUCUGUCAGCCUCACCAUCACAGCCUUACAACUCCAGGACUCGGCAAUGUAUUUCUGUGCUCUGAGAGAGGCCACAGUGAGGUGGGUGCCUGUGGGAGCCCUACAAAAACCUCAGAUCUCAACAUGA
Molecule: non-coding RNA, 451 nt
Organism: Manis pentadactyla (Chinese pangolin)
Lineage: Eukaryota; Metazoa; Chordata; Mammalia; Pholidota; Manidae
Source: the annotation of a RefSeq genome assembly